GGGGAGACAGGCAUCACUCCAGUCCCCGCCGCUGGCUCUUUGACUCUAAAUUGACAGGUCCCUUUGCAGUGGACGUUGGUGCUACUCCUUUGGCAGUGCCAACAGAAGUUUUGCAAAGUCUCCUAAAGGUUCCUGAAAAUCACAUGGCAGGCAUCCACCCUGUGGUACUGUGCCAUGUCUCAGAAACCGCUUGAUCCAGUGACCCGAAUAUACACCACUAAUACUACCCCAGACUCCAUUGAUCAC
Molecule: long non-coding RNA, 246 nt
Organism: Mauremys reevesii (Reeves's turtle)
Lineage: Eukaryota; Metazoa; Chordata; Testudines; Geoemydidae
Exons: 3
Source: RefSeq, a predicted model, not a curated record